UGUUUGACUGUGUUUUGUUUUUUGAUUUGUUUUUGUUUUGUUUUGUUUUGUGCUUUGCUUUGCUUUCAAUGUUUUUGGUUUCACUAAAUGUUUUCAUUCAUGAGUAGCUUGUAGUUUGACAAGCUAAAAUUUCAUGAAAGGAACAAGCCCUGGAUUGCAGCAACGUGGGUGAGUAAAUUACAUAAUUUUCAUUUUUCUUUGAAUGUAGUCCCAUUUAUUUACAUUCAUGUACCGAUAAAAGUGAAUAUUACUGCAGAACUGUUAUCUGAACUUAUCUCUCUGACGGUCUAUGACAGGUGCCAAACAGGCUUUAUGAAUGUGUAGUGAGGUUAUGAAUGCAGCCUGAAGUCAUGAUGAAGGGAUUUAGAUGGGUUUACAGCUUUAAACUUAAUCCUAAAUUGGAGGGUUUCCUUCCAAACCCCCACAUGGCCCAAAUCUCUCAAUAAAACAUGAGCGAGGCAGCAGAGGAGCCUGGAUACAUAUUUAAACAGGUUAUUGAAUAUAGAGAGAAUGCGUCUUGUGUUUAAAUAUGUGUUUUAACAACUGUGUGUACAUGUGUGUGUUCAUUUAGCAGCCUCAUUGUCGAGGCACUUCCUGUGAUUUCUGUUUCCUGUGUUCUUUCGAGGCUUGCUUGAGUUUCAAACGCGGCCUGAUUCAAAUAUUCUUUUUCUUCUUCAAAAACCCAUAAAGUGCUGAUAAAUGGUUUAAAGAGAGACACUAAAAGCAUGAAACUCCAGAGAAGAGAAAGAACGGAGUGAGUGCGGUAUCAGCGCAGGCGUCGAUGGGGAAUGCAAACAAGUGGCCAUCUCACUCUCCACCAUCUGCGCUCUGAAGACAGCUUUUCAGCGGCCACAAGCAUUCUUCAAACGCUCUUUGGAGACUGGUUUGGAAAGAGAUCUUGGAUAGCGUUCUUCAGGAUGUUCCUCACUGCCGUUUGUCGGAUAAUAACCUCGGUACGGUGGCCACCAGCAUCCUCCUGCCCUCCGGACCACGCAGCCCUCUCUACAGCUGGAGGUGGUACCCGCAAACAUGCCUCUCUCUGACAGGCCUCUCACCAAGAUGAAUUCAUCGCCAGCACGGGUUGAAAUACUCUGGCCAAAACAAGUAAUUUGAUUGCCCCGACCGCAAAUUAAGUUAGUGUGAUUCAAUUUUCGAUUUGGAGCUAUCCAGCAGCCAUACAUCACAGCAGACAUAUUUCAUUACCCAGCUAAAGCAGGUUCGGGGCGGGGCCAGGGGUGCAGGUCUCCACAGGAAGACAUCAUAGCAUUGUUAUGGCACACAUUCAGUCCCUCACACUCCUUUCCUCCCAGCUACAAUGUGGCUAUUUAUAACACACAAACACAUAUGGCUGUCACCACACGCACUCUCGAGCGCAUCAGAUAUAUCUAGAUAAUUGUGAUUGUCUCUGUCCGUUCGGUGAGAGAUGAUGUAAACAGCAUUAUCGCCACUGUUUUGGAAAGGAAAUGUGUGUGUGUGCAUGUAAGAAAAACGGCACUCUGUCAUGGAGUGAUGCAAAACGACACUUCUCGCAGUUUAUGCCUCUGAGAAUUUUUGUCCGUUUCCCUGGUGACCGGCCAUCACACUGAUUGCGCUGACAUAAAUAAUAUUCUGAGUGCUGUUCGUAGUCUGAUGAGGGUUCUGUGAAAAAUGAAAUUUUUGUGUGCCUCCAUUUCUUUCCCGGUUGUUUUGUAUUUUUAUCAUUAACAGUGUUAUUU
Megalobrama amblycephala (Wuchang bream) is the source of this 1715-nucleotide long non-coding RNA. RefSeq lists it as uncharacterized. The record is from RefSeq and is a predicted model, not a curated record. The transcript is spliced from 3 exons. NCBI's taxonomy places the organism in Eukaryota, Metazoa, Chordata, Actinopteri, Cypriniformes, Xenocyprididae.